Molecule: unclassified non-coding RNA, 337 nt
Filed under: soil metagenome
Description: partial contains 5.8S ribosomal RNA, internal transcribed spacer 2, and large subunit ribosomal RNA
Rfam family: 5.8S ribosomal RNA (bases 1-120)
Source: RNAcentral
GAUGAAGAACGUAGCGAAAUGCGAUAAGUAAUGUGAAUUGCAGAAUUCAGUGAAUCAUCGAAUCUUUGAACGCACAUUGCGCCCGCCAGCAUUCUGGCGGGCAUGCCUGUUCGAGCGUCAUUUCAACCCUCAAGCUCUGCUUGGUGUUGGGGCCCUACGGUUGACGUAGGCCCUUAAAGGUAGUGGCGGACCCUCUCGGAGCCUCCUUUGCGUAGUAACUAACGUCUCGCACUGGGAUUCGGAGGGACUCUUGCCGUAAAACCCCCAAAUUUUUAAAGGUUGACCUCGCAUCAGGUAGGAAUACCCGCUGAACUUAAGCAUAUCAAUAAGCGGAGGA